This 436-nucleotide ribosomal RNA is filed under the name uncultured Anaerolineaceae bacterium. RNAcentral's name for it is "bacterial SSU rRNA". It matches the Rfam family "Bacterial small subunit ribosomal RNA", at positions 933 to 1382 of the family's 1533-position model. Lineage: Bacteria; Bacillati; Chloroflexota; Anaerolineae; Anaerolineales; Anaerolineaceae. The record is from RNAcentral.
UGGAGCAUGUGGUUAAUUCGACGCAACGCGAAGAACCUUACCAGGGCUUGACAUCCCUGACCGCGUAUGAAAGUACGUUUCACCCUCGGGUGACAGGGAGACAGGUGGUGCAUGGUUGUCGUCAGCUCGUGUCGUGAGAUGUUGGGUUAAGUCCGCUAACGAGCGCAACCCUCGCUGUGUGUUACAAGUGUCACACGGGAACUGCCGGUCAUAAACCGGAGGAAGGUGGGGAUGACGUCAAGUCAGCAUGGCCUUUAUAUCCUGGGCUACACACACGCUACAAUGGGAAGGGACAAUAGGUUGCGAAGCCGCGAGGCGGAGCCAAUCCAGCAAAACUUCCCUCAGUUCAGAUUGCAGGCUGCAACUCGCCUGCAUGAAGUUGGAGUUGCUAGUAAACGCAGGUCAGCAUACUGCGGUGAAUACGUUCCCGGGCCUU